GAUGAACGCUAGCGGCAGGCCUAAUACAUGCAAGCUGAACGGUAAAUAUUAUAGCAAUAUGAUAUGAGAGUAGCGUAAGGGUGCGUAACACGUAUGCAAUCUGCCCUGUACAGGAGGAUAGCUCGGCGAAAGCCGGAUUAAUACUCCGUAAUAUUAUGGGAAGGCAUCUUUUUAUAAUUAAAGUCGCAAGAUGGUACAGGAUGAGCAUGCGUCUGAUUAGCUAGUUGGUAGUGUAACGGACUACCAAGGCGAUGAUCAGUAGGGGAACUGAGAGGUUGAUCCCCCACACUGGCACUGAGAUACGGGCCAGACUCCUACGGGAGGCAGCAGUAGGGAAUAUUGGUCAAUGGAUGCAAGUCUGAACCAGCCAUGCCGCGUGCAGGAAGAAGGCCUUCUGGGUUGUAAACUGCUUUUGCCGGGGGAUAAAAUUCCCAUGCGUGGGCAUUGAAGGUACCCGGUGAAUAAGCCACGGCUAACUACG
This 481-nucleotide ribosomal RNA is filed under the name uncultured bacterium. Its description in RNAcentral is "bacterial SSU rRNA". It matches the Rfam family "Bacterial small subunit ribosomal RNA", at positions 28 to 505 of the family's 1533-position model. The record is from RNAcentral.